GUGUGGGUAGUAUAAAUAUUAUAUUUAUCUUCCAAAUAAAAGAUCUAAUUUUAGUCCGCAUU
This 62-nucleotide transfer RNA is filed under the name Hiatella arctica. Its description in RNAcentral is "tRNA-Gly". Lineage: Eukaryota; Metazoa; Mollusca; Bivalvia; Adapedonta; Hiatellidae. The record is from RNAcentral.